Molecule: RNase P RNA, 353 nt
Filed under: Lachnospiraceae bacterium
Lineage: Bacteria; Bacillati; Bacillota; Clostridia; Lachnospirales; Lachnospiraceae
Also listed under: 1 other name
Description: RNase P RNA component class A
Rfam family: Bacterial RNase P class A
About the family: Ribonuclease P (RNase P) is a ubiquitous endoribonuclease, found in archaea, bacteria and eukarya as well as chloroplasts and mitochondria. Its best characterised activity is the generation of mature 5'-ends of tRNAs by cleaving the 5'-leader elements of precursor-tRNAs. Cellular RNase Ps are ribonucleoproteins.
Source: RNAcentral
UAAGUGGAACAAAUGAUCGCGGCUGCACAGACGAAAGGGUGCAGGUGAGGAAAGUCCGGGCUCCACAGGGCAGGAUGCCGGAUAACAUCCGGUGGAGGUGACUCCAAGGCCAGUGCAACAGAAAUAAUACCGCCCCGGCGAUACGCCGAGGUGAGGGUGGAAUGGCAGUGUAAGAGACUACCGCCGUCACGGUAACGGGACGGGCUGUGUAAACCCCAUCCGGAGCAAGACCAAGCAGAGAGCAAUGACCGGCCCGGUCCGCUCUCAGGUAGGUCGCUGGAGGGUUUCGGCGACGAAACUCCUAGAUAGAUGAUCAUUCAAGACAUAACCCGGCUUAUCGUUCUGCUUACCAG